AGCUGACGAGAGUCGCAGAUACCAGGUGGCUGCAACUGUUUAUUAAAAACACAGCACUGUGCAAAAUCGUAAGAUGACGUAUACGGUGUGACGCCUGCCCGGUGCCGGAAGGUUAAUUGAUGGGGUUAGCGUAAGCGAAGCUCUUGAUCGAAGCCCCGGUAAACGGCGGCCGUAACUAUAACGGUCCUAAGGUAGCGAAAUUCCUUGUCGGGUAAGUUCCGACCUGCACGAAUGGCGUAAUGAUGGCCACGCUGUCUCCACCCGAGACUCAGUGAAAUUGAAAUCGCUGUGAAGAUGCAGUGUACCCGCGGCUAGACGGAAAGACCCCGUGAACCUUUACUACAGCUUGGCACUGAACAUUGAACCUACAUGUGUAGGAUAGGUGGGAGGCUUUGAAGACGUGACGCCAGUUGCGUUGGAGCCGUCCUUGAAAUACCACCCUUGUAUGUUUGAUGUUCUAACGUUGGCCCCUAAUCGGGGUUGCGGACAGUGCCUGGUGGGUAGUUUGACUGGGGCGGUCUCCUCCCAAAGAGUAACGGAGGAGCACGAAGGUGGGCUAAUCACGGUUGGACAUCGUGAGGUUAGUGCAAUGGCAUAAGCCCGCUUAACUGCGAGAAUGACGGUUCGAGCAGGUGCGAAAGCAGGUCAUAGUGAUCCGGUGGUUCUGAAUGGAAGGGCCAUCGCUCAACGGAUAAAAGGUACUCCGGGGAUAACAGGCUGAUACCGCCCAAGAGUUCAUAUCGACGGCGGUGUUUGGCACCUCGAUGUCGGCUCAUCACAUCCUGGGGCUGAAGUCGGUCCCAAGGGUAUGGCUGUUCGCCAUUUAAAGUGGUACGCGAGCUGGGUUUAGAACGUCGUGAGACAGUUCGGUCCCUAUCUGCCGUGGGCGUUGGAAGAUUGAAGGGGGCUGCUCCUAGUACGAGAGGACCGGAGUGGACGAACCUCUGGUGUUCGGGUUGUGUCGCCAGACGCAUUGCCCGGUAGCUAAGUUCGGAAUCGAUAACCGCUGAAAGCAUCUAAGCGGGAAGCGAGCCCUGAGAUGAGUCUU
This 1048-nucleotide ribosomal RNA is filed under the name Vibrio vulnificus. RNAcentral's name for it is "partial 23S ribosomal RNA". It matches the Rfam family "Bacterial large subunit ribosomal RNA", at positions 1765 to 2812 of the family's 2925-position model. Lineage: Bacteria; Pseudomonadati; Pseudomonadota; Gammaproteobacteria; Vibrionales; Vibrionaceae. The record is from RNAcentral.